RNAcentral lists this ribosomal RNA (492 nucleotides) under uncultured bacterium. RNAcentral's name for it is "partial 16S ribosomal RNA". It matches the Rfam family "Bacterial small subunit ribosomal RNA", at positions 29 to 507 of the family's 1533-position model. The record is from RNAcentral.
AGUGAACGCUGGCGGUAGGCCUAACACACGCAAGUCGAACGGCAGCACAGUAAGAGCUUGCUCUUACGGGUGGCGAGUGGCGGACGGGUGAGGAAUACAUCGGAAUCUACUUUUUCGUGGGGGAUAACGUAGGGAAACUUACGCUAAUACCGCAUACGACCUACGGGUGAAAGCAGGGGAUCUUCGGACCUUGCGCGAUUGAAUGAGCCGAUGUCGGAUUAGCUAGUUGGCGGGGUAAAGGCCCACCAAGGCGACGAUCCGUAGCUGGUCUGAGAGGAUGAUCAGACACACUGGAACUGAGACACGGUCCAGACUCCUACGGGAGGCAGCAGUGGGGAAUAUUGGACAAUGGGCGCAAGCCUGAUCCAGCCAUACCGCGUGGGUGAAGAAGGCCUUCGGGUUGUAAAGCCCUUUUGUUGGGAAAGAAAAGCAGCAGGUUAAUACCCCGCUGUUCUGACGGUACCCAAAGAAUAAGCACCGGCUAACUUCGUG